This 254-nucleotide ribosomal RNA is filed under the name uncultured bacterium. Its description in RNAcentral is "partial 16S ribosomal RNA". It matches the Rfam family "Bacterial small subunit ribosomal RNA", at positions 524 to 776 of the family's 1533-position model. The record is from RNAcentral.
GACGAACCGUGCGAACGUUAUUCGGAAUCACUGGGCUUAAAGCGCGUGUAGGCGGGUCGGCACGUCGGUCGCUGAAAUCCCCCGGCUCAACCGGGGAACGGGCCCCGAUACGACCGACCUGGAGGGGGGUAGGGGGAGCCGGAACUUCCGGUGGAGCGGUGAAAUGCGUUGAGAUCGGAAGGAACGCCCGUGGCGAAAGCGGGCUCCUGGACCCCACCUGACGCUGAGACGCGAAAGCCAGGGAGGCGAACGGG